Molecule: ribosomal RNA, 576 nt
Filed under: uncultured bacterium
Lineage: Bacteria
Description: bacterial SSU rRNA
Rfam family: Bacterial small subunit ribosomal RNA
Source: RNAcentral
UACGGGAGGCAGCAGUGAGGAAUCUUGCGCAAUGGGCGAAAGCCUGACGCAGCCACGCCGCGUGCCGGAUGAAGGCCCUAUGGGUUGUAAACGGCUUUUAGGCAGGAAGAACGACCGGAUUUCGAUCUGGUGUGACGGUACUGCUUGAAUAAGCACCGGCUAACUCCGUGCCAGCAGCCGCGGUAAUACGGAGGGUGCAAGCGUUGUCCGGAAUCAUUGGGUGUAAAGGGUGCGUAGGCGGGCGUCUAAGUCUGGGGUGAAAUCUUGCCGCUUAACGGUAAAAUGGCCUUGGAUACUGGGCGUCUUGAGUGUAGAAGAGGUAAGUGGAAUUCGUAGUGUAGCGGUGAAAUGCAUAGAUAUUACGAAGAACAUCAGUGGCGAAGGCGGCUUACUGGUCUACAACUGACGCUGAGGCACGAAAGCGUGGGGAGCGAACAGGAUUAGAUACCCUGGUAGUCCACGCUGUAAACGAUGCAUACUAGGUGUUGGCCUUUCGGGGCCAGUGCUGCAGUUAACGCAUUAAGUAUGCCACCUGGGGAGUACGUCGGCAACGAUGAAACUCAAAGGAAUUGACGG